ACGAACGCUGGCGGCGUGCUUAACACAUGCAAGUCGAGCGGGGACGGAGGCUUCGGCCAAAGUUCUAGCGGCGGACGGGUGAGUAACGCGUGAGCAACCUUUCCUCUACUGGGGAAUAACACCGGGAAACUGGUACUAAUACCGCAUGAGACCACAGUGCUGCAUGGCACAGGGGUCAAAGAUUUAUCGGUAGAGGGUGGGCUCGCGUCCGAUUAGGUAGUUGGUGAGGUAACGGCCCACCAAGCCGACGAUCGGUAGCCGACCUGAGAGGGUGAUCGGCCACAUUGGGACUGAGACACGGCCCAAACUCCUACGGGAGGCAGCAGUGGGGAAUAUUGGGCAAUGGGGGAAACCCUGACCCAGCAACGCCGCGUGGAGGAAGAAGGUUUUCGGAUCGUAAACUCCUGUCCUCAGGGAAGAGCAGAAGACGGUACCUGAGGAGGAAGCCCUGGCUAACUACGUG
This 463-nucleotide ribosomal RNA is filed under the name uncultured bacterium. RNAcentral describes it as "bacterial SSU rRNA". It matches the Rfam family "Bacterial small subunit ribosomal RNA", at positions 29 to 507 of the family's 1533-position model. The record is from RNAcentral.